Molecule: ribosomal RNA, 433 nt
Filed under: uncultured bacterium
Lineage: Bacteria
Description: partial 16S ribosomal RNA
Rfam family: Bacterial small subunit ribosomal RNA
Source: RNAcentral
AACGAACGCUGGCGGCAUGCCUAACACAUGCAAGUCGAACGAGACCUCCGUGUCUAGUGGCGCACGGGUGCGUAACGCGUGGGAAGCUGCCCUUAGGUUCGGAAUAACUCACUGAAGGGGGUGCUAAUACCGGAUAAUGUCAUCGGACAAAAGAUUUAUCGCCUUUGGGUGGGCCCGCGUUGGUUUAGCUAGUUGGUAGGGUAAAAGCCUAUCAAGGCGACGAUCCAUAGCUGGUCUGAGAGGAUGAUCAGCCACACUUGGGCUAAGACACGGCCCAGACUCCUAGGGAAAGGAGCAGUGGGGAAUAUAGGACAAUGGGGGAUGGCCUGAUCCAGCAAUGCCGGGUAAGUGAUGAAGGCGUUAGGGUAGUGAAGCUCUUUUACCCGGGGUGAUAAUGACGGUACCGGGAGAAUAAGCACCGGCUAACUCCGUG